GGCGGCGUGCCUAACACAUGCAAGUCGAACGGGAAAACCCGAAAGGGUUAGUACAGUGGCGAACUGGUGCAUAACGCGUGGGAAUCUGCCCUUGAGUGAAGGAUACCUUCGAGAAAUCGGAGCUAAUACUGCAUAAGCCCAGAGAUGGGGAAAGAUGGCCUCAAAGCUAUCGCUGAAGGAUGAGCCUGCGUACUAUUAGCUAGUUGGUGGGGUAAAGGCCUACCAAGGCAGAGAUGGUUAGCCGGCCUGAGAGGGUGUACGGCCACAUUGGGACUGAGAUACGGCCCAGACUCCUACGGGAGGCAGCAGUGGGGAAUAUUGCACAAUGGACGAAAGUCUGAUGCAGCGACGCCGCGUGGAGGAUGAAGGUUUUCGGAUUGUAAACUCCUGUUGAGUGGGAAGAAAGACUGUUACCUAAUACGUAACAGGGAUGACGGUACCACUAGAGAAAGCACCGGCAAACUUCGUGCCAGCAGCCGCGGUAAUACGAAGGGUGCAAGCGUUAUUCGGAGUUACUGGGCGUAAAGAGCGCGUAGGCGGUUUCUUAAGUCAUGUGUUAAAUCUCCCGGCUUAACCGGGAACAUGCACGUGAAACUGGGAAGCUAGA
Molecule: ribosomal RNA, 607 nt
Filed under: uncultured Candidatus Babelota bacterium
Lineage: Bacteria
Description: bacterial SSU rRNA
Rfam family: Bacterial small subunit ribosomal RNA
Source: RNAcentral